Molecule: ribosomal RNA, 251 nt
Filed under: uncultured bacterium
Lineage: Bacteria
Description: partial 16S ribosomal RNA
Rfam family: Bacterial small subunit ribosomal RNA
Source: RNAcentral
GACAGAGGAUGCAAGCGUUAUCCGAAAUGAUUAGGCGUAAAGCAUCUGUAGGUGGCUUUUCAAGUCCGCCGUCAAAUCCCAGGGCUCAACCCUGGACAGGCGGUGGAAACUACCAAGCUGGAGUACGGCAGGGGCAGAGGGCUCGUAGAGCCGGUGGAGCGGUGCAAUGCGUAGAGAUCGGAAAGAACACCAAUGGCAAAAGCACUCUGCUGGGCUGACACUGAGAGACGAAAGCUAGGGGAGCAAAUGGG